AACCCUGCCUGUUUACCAAAAACAUCACCUCUAGCAUAAACAGUAUUAGAGGCACUGCCUGCCCAGUAACAUGUUUAAUGGCCAUGGUAUCCUGACCAUGCAAAGGUAGCAUAACCAUUUGUUCCUUAAAUAGGGAUGGUAUGAAUGGCUUAACGGGGUU
This 160-nucleotide ribosomal RNA is filed under the name Marmota monax (woodchuck). Its description in RNAcentral is "LSU_rRNA_eukarya". The record is from RNAcentral. Lineage: Eukaryota; Metazoa; Chordata; Mammalia; Rodentia; Sciuridae.